UUGGUUGUAACUCAGUGGUAGAGUGUUCGCUUUGAAUGUGAAAAGCCCGGAGUUCAAUCCUCCGCAACUACA
RNAcentral lists this transfer RNA (72 nucleotides) under Daphnia magna. Its description in RNAcentral is "tRNA-Ser". It matches the Rfam family "tRNA". Rfam says of the family: Transfer RNA (tRNA) molecules are approximately 80 nucleotides in length. Their secondary structure includes four short double-helical elements and three loops (D, anti-codon, and T loops). Further hydrogen bonds mediate the characteristic L-shaped molecular structure. tRNAs have two regions of fundamental functional importance: the anti-codon, which is responsible for specific mRNA codon recognition, and the 3' end, to which the tRNAs corresponding amino acid is attached (by aminoacyl-tRNA synthetases). tRNAs cope with the degeneracy of the genetic code in two manners: having more than one tRNA (with a specific anti-codon) for a particular amino acid; and 'wobble' base-pairing, i.e. permitting non-standard base-pairing at the 3rd anti-codon position. Lineage: Eukaryota; Metazoa; Arthropoda; Branchiopoda; Diplostraca; Daphniidae. The record is from RNAcentral.